This 292-nucleotide ribosomal RNA is filed under the name uncultured bacterium. RNAcentral's name for it is "partial 16S ribosomal RNA". It matches the Rfam family "Bacterial small subunit ribosomal RNA", at positions 505 to 796 of the family's 1533-position model. The record is from RNAcentral.
GUGUCAGCAGCCGCGGUAAUACAGAGACUGCAAGCGUUAUUCGGAUUCACUGGGCGUAAAGGGUGCGCAGGCGGCCGGGUGUGUCAGAUGUGAAAUCCCGAGGCUUAACCUCGGAACUGCGUCUGAAACUACUCGGCUAGAGUAUUGGAGAGGGUAACGGAAUUCACGGUGUAGCAGUGAAAUGCGUAGAUAUCGUGAGGAACACCAGAGGCGAAGGCGGUUACCUGGACAAUUACUGACGCUCAGGCACGAAAGCAUGGGGAGCAAAAGGGAUUAGAUACCCCCGUAGUCC